This 966-nucleotide long non-coding RNA is filed under the name Homo sapiens (human). RNAcentral describes it as "long intergenic non-protein coding RNA 882". Lineage: Eukaryota; Metazoa; Chordata; Mammalia; Primates; Hominidae. The record is from RNAcentral.
GCCGCGCAGGCUCGGCGUUGGCCUCCGCGGCCCGUGCGAGUGCGCCCUUCUCGGGUCCCCUAGGUCGCGGGGCAGCCGGGGCGGAAGGGGCUUGUUCAUUAUUUUGAGAGUUUGUUGUGAACGUCAUAACCUUUCGUCCUUAAAUAUUGCCGAUACUUGACCUACGCAAGAGACAAUGUCAUGUGAUUCAGCCUAAUAUCUCAGAGGAUGCAGCAUUCAAGGUUCUAUCUUGGAAGCAGAGACUGUGCCCUCACCAGAUGCUGAACCUGCUGAGCACCCUGAUCUUCCACUUCACCUUCAUCAGAACUGGACGCGCAUGAAAUUUGGUGCCGUGACUCGGAUCGGCGGACCUCCCUUAGGAGAUCAAUCCCCUGUCCUCCUGCUCUUUGCUCCAUGAGAAAGAUCCACCUACGACCUAAGGUCCUCAGACCAACCAGCCCAAGAAACAUCUCACCAAUUUCAAAUCCGAAAUCCUUCAUCUAAUCUGGCAAACACAUGUGGCAGGUUUUUCUCACCGCAUAAAAUAUGUUAUAGAGUAGUCCAUCUAUUUCUCUUCCAUGGAAGAGUUCAUCUGGUAGAUUGGACUACCACUUUUCCUUCAGGUCCCGAGUUCUCAUCCCGCAUCCAGGAAGAAUGAGGUUAUGUGGACACCUGGAGGGUGAGCGAGGCUGAGAAAAGCUUUAUUGGGCAACCAGACAGCUCUCAGAAGAGAGGUGACCUGAAGCAGGAUGAGAGACGUUGAGCUCCAAACUCAGACUAAGAAACUAUAAGAAAUAUGCUUCAAUGAAGAAGCUGUUCAAAAAUGAGUAAGAUUGUUUCCUUGAGGCAAGAAAGAAAUGCAGAAGUCUUGACAAACAAAAGAAGAGAUUGCCUUAGGGAAGGGGACUACAGUGAACACUGAGAACUUCUUCCCACGCUAAGACAAUCUUUACAGAGCAAGACUCCGUCUCAAAAAAAAAAAAAAAA